RNAcentral lists this ribosomal RNA (999 nucleotides) under Trichophaea dougoudii. RNAcentral describes it as "partial 28S ribosomal RNA". It matches the Rfam family "Eukaryotic large subunit ribosomal RNA", at positions 52 to 1086 of the family's 3401-position model. The record is from RNAcentral. Lineage: Eukaryota; Fungi; Ascomycota; Pezizomycetes; Pezizales; Pyronemataceae.
GGGGGAAAACACAGGGGAUUGCCUUAGUAACUGCGAGUGAAGCGGCAAAAGCUCAAAUUUGAAAUCUGGCAUCUUUUGGUGUCUGAGUUGUAAUUUAGAGGGGCAUUUUCAAGGUUAGCACUAUUCUAAGUUCUUUGGAACAGGACAUCAUAGAGGGUGAGAAUCCCGUGUCUGGGUAGUUGUCUGAUUCUUAUGUGAAGUGUCUCCGACGAGUCGAGUUGUUUGGGAAUGCAGCUCAAAAUGGGUGGUAAAUUUCAUCUAAAGCUAAAUAUUGGCGAGAGACCGAUAGCGCACAAGUAGAGUGAUCGAAAGAUGAAAAGCACUUUGAAAAGAGAGUUAAAAAGUACGUGAAAUUGUUGAAAGGGAAGCACUUGCGACCAGAUUCAAACUUUGGGAGUCAUCUGGGUUUCGGCCUGGUGGUUAUUCCUAUUGAUUGGGCCAGUAUCGGUUUUAGUGGUAGGAUAAAAAGUGAGGAAAUGUGGCUUUCAUUUUUUUGAGAGUGUUAUAGUCCUUAUUAUAAUACUGCCUACUGGGACCGAGGACCGCGUUCUUCUGAACUAGGAUACUGGCAUAAUGGUUUUAAGUGACCCGUCUUGAAACACGGACCAAGGAGUCUAACAUCUAUGCGAGUAUUUGGGUGGAAAACCCUUGUGCGUAAUGAAAGUAAAUGGAGGUGGGAACCAUGUAAAAACGGUGCACCAUCGACCAGUCCUGAUGUUUUUAUACGGAAGGAUCUGAGUAAGAGCAUAGCUGUUGGGACCCGAAAGAUGGUGAACUAUGCCUGAAUAGGGUGAAGCCAGAGGAAACUCUGGUGGAGGCUCGCAGCGGUUCUGACGUGCAAAUCGAUCGUCAAAUUUGGGUAUAGGGGCGAAAGACUAAUCGAACCAUCUAGUAACUGGUUCCUGCCGAAGUUUCCCUCAGGAAAUUUUUUUUUUUUCUUUUUUUUUUGUUGUGUGCUUCUGUUGUGUGCGGUGUCUUAGAGUGCGGACUAUGUUAGUG